Molecule: long non-coding RNA, 358 nt
Organism: Drosophila virilis
Lineage: Eukaryota; Metazoa; Arthropoda; Insecta; Diptera; Drosophilidae
Source: RefSeq, a predicted model, not a curated record
CAUCAGCUGACUGCAUCGGCUCAUCGGUGUCCGAUGGCUAAUGCCAAUUGCUAGUGGUUACCCUUAAAUGCACUUCAAAUGACAUUAUUCAUCAAUGCUUUUGCUUAUUAUUGUUAUAAGUGAAGGUCUCUCAGCCCAGCCCAGAAGAUAUACUGGAAGCUUUCCUAGAGACCGGAGACCCUAACUGGAUUGCGAAGCUAUGCUCCAAGUCUUUCACAUUCAACUCUUGCUAACUAAUUCCUACUCCUAUCUGUUGAUGGCGCUCUAUAUUGAUCCGAUAAUGCGAACCUUACACUGGGCAACAUCAAGGGCCUUACGUCACGGCACUUCAUCGCCAUAAAUAUUCCAAUUGAACGCA